Molecule: RNA transcript, 2118 nt
Organism: Trifolium pratense (red clover)
Lineage: Eukaryota; Viridiplantae; Streptophyta; Magnoliopsida; Fabales; Fabaceae
Exons: 10
Source: RefSeq, a predicted model, not a curated record
GGUUUAUGGAAACAAUUGUGGUUUUAUGAUUACUUUCCCAAAAUUUUUUUCAUUUAUGAAAUUGUUUUCUCUCUCUUCCCCCUCUCUCUCUCUCUCGUACGCUCUCCCUCUUUCUCAUCAUCCCACAGUUUCAUCUCUCUCACUCCCCAUCUCAUCCUUCACCAUAACAUCCACACCACAACCUCCACCACCAUCUACGAAUCAAUCAAUCGUCAUGAGAGUGAGGGAGUGGCCGAGUGAGAGAAGAUUUACCGGCGGGAGAGAAAUUCUGGUGAGGAGGAGGAGUUCCGGCCGAGAGAGUUCUUGUGGCCGUUUGUGGUGACACGGCGGUGCUCGGCAACGGCGGCGACGAAGCUUCUUGCUCCUUCUUUCCUCUGGUUCGAUCUUAAUUUCUAUGCUCUAUUUAUUUUUUAUUUUUUUUCGUUGUUUUUUUUGUUGGUGAGGAUGGUUGAAGAUCGGAGGUGAUGGUGAUGUGUGGUGGUUAUGGUAGAUGGUGAUGUAUCUCCAAAUUCAUCUUCUAGAUUUCAUCUUUCUCAAUUUGUCAAUAUUCAUCUCUCUAUUACCUUUAGCAUUCUAUUUGUCAUUGUAAUUGCAUUUGUAUCAGAUGGUUUGAGUACAGUGCCGGACAAAGCAUCUGUCCUUUCUUCAAACACAUCCUUCAGCCAUGAAUUUCACGAACAUGGGGAUCAGAUAAUAAAGAAUUGCUUCAGAGGGAAGUUGGUUUUUGGUGGUUAUUCAGUUUCAGAUCAAAAUCACCGGAAAAGCCAGUCGCGCCACCACCACAAAAGCUUUCUCUAUGCGACAGACAGGAGGGUUUAGAGCAAAAAGUAAAGAUUCUGGAAAGCAAUUUGAGUUCUUUUAGUGAGAAAGAGAAAAAAGAAGUAUCUGGAUUUGAAUAGAACAGUUUUUGGUGAAUGUGAAGAUGGCUAUUGUGCACUAUCAAAAUUUGUUAUCUUUCUCGCUUUCUUUUGGCAUACCUGGCAACGGGAAUGAAUGACAUGGAGCACACACAACAAUGGUAGCAGCCUCCGAUGUAGAGGUUUGUGUAUCUCAUCUCAGCUCCAUAGAAUAUUUCUGGUUCUACUUUAGCUAGAUCUAUCCAUUUUGCUUAGAUAAAGGGUGGAUUUUGAUCUAGCUUGAAGGUUUUGAUCAUCUGAUAUAAGAGAGAGUUCCGACCGAGAGAGUUGCGGUGCUUGGCGAUGGAGGUGAUGAAGCCUUUUUCUCCUUCUUUCCUCCGGUUCGAUCCUUCAUUCGGAUGAUCAUCAACAAUCUAUUGAAGAAGAGAAGGCUUGAUUUGUGGUAUUUCUUUGAUGUUAAUACUCCCAAGAUGAAAAGAGAUCUCAUGAAGCAGCUUUGGCGAAGUGCAAGGAGUUAGAAGAACAAUUGCAAAGAUAUGAACCAUCGUUACAAAUUGCAUCCUGAUGUUCGUCCUUACGCAAUGAUGACCAGGACAGGAUAUAUGGAGUAUGAUCCCAUGAAGCCCCGAGGAAAGCUUCCAGAAAUCUAUGCACGUUCCAUUGGUCAAUACAUGUGAUACGGUUUUUUUGGAGGAUGUUAACAAGAAUCAGAUUCAAGUUGGUGUGCACAAAAAGAGUUCUUCAAAAAUUUAUUUUACUGAUGGCUGGUCAAUACAUAGGUGAUACGGUUUUUCUGGCCAGUGGCGUGAUAUUUGCAAAGUCCACCAUUUGGCUGAGGGUGUAACUGUGAGCUUUGGUGUCACUCAAGCAUCCAACAACAGGAUCAUAUACUUCAAGCUAUCCCCUUACAUUGGCAUACGAACUACUCUCAUUGCUCCUUCAACAUCCAGCAAGCGGAAGAAAUUUUAUGAGACUCAGCAUUUCUAUAUGCUCUAGGAUCCCUACUAUCUUGCUUUAGAACUAUCUUGCUUUUAUUUAUUUCUGAACCUAUGUUGUAAUAUCUCUGCCAAACUUGAUUUUCAUGCUUUUAGGCUUGGCCAUUUUGAGCUUGUGCUGUGCUUGCUCUAUUUUGCUUUAGAACUAUGUUGAUUUUCAUGCUCAAGAGCUUGGCCAUUUCGAACUUGUGUUGUAAUAUUUCUACAAGACUUUAUUUCCCUGCUUUUCAUAGUGCUUGCCCCAAUGCUUGCUCUUUUAUGAUUGA